This is a long non-coding RNA of Helianthus annuus (common sunflower), 794 nucleotides long. RefSeq lists it as uncharacterized. NCBI's taxonomy places the organism in Eukaryota, Viridiplantae, Streptophyta, Magnoliopsida, Asterales, Asteraceae. The record is from RefSeq and is a predicted model, not a curated record. The transcript is spliced from 2 exons.
CAAGUCAUGUGGCGAUCUAGUCGGGUAGUAAGGUUAUUCAAGUCACUUUGGUCAUGUAUCAGCAGCAUAUAGGGAUCUCUUUGGAGGUUUGGAGGAUUCAUUUGUGUUAGGCUUAUGGCUGAGCAGUCCACCAAAUGAAGGUCCAGUUAAUGUCGGUUUUGAAUGGUAAAAAUGAGAUGCACCAGUUCGUUGCUGAAGUCCAAGAAGGUAAAUAGUGCAAUUAAUCCGAAUGAACAGUUAUUGAUUCUCACGCCAGGGUGUGGUCACGGGGACACAUCACUCCCUGUGGCCAGGCUACUGGUGGAUGAAGCGUGCAAGAGUUCUCCUUAGCCAGCUCAUUCAUGCGAACCUGAUAGCGAUCAAUCCUGUCCUGAAGUUUUCUCUCUCGGUUAUCAUAAGAUUGUGAGUUAGCUACUCUGAGCUCUUUGAGUUUGAAACAAGUCAACAACAGUGUUCAGGGUGAGGAUCUGGAGGGUUGGUUUAGUGUGAGUUAAGUAAUGCACACUUGAUAAUCUCACUAUCCCACAUCAGCUGAGUGACGAAAACAAAAAAUGGAGAGUCUGUCUAUAUAAUCAGCGGAUCAAGGAGAGGUAAAGUAUACCUUUCUCGGCCUUUUGGCUAAGAUCAAGUGUAGUAUCUGUUCUUAUCAGUUUAAUAUCUGAUAUGUGAGCCAUCGGCUCACUCGAUAUUAAUCUUAUUUUUUAUGGGGAAAGGCCCACCACAAUAGCUUGCUAUUGGGGUCUUUGAGCGUCGCCUUGGUCUUGCACUACCGCCUUGGCCUGGCGCACCCCUCC